Molecule: ribosomal RNA, 229 nt
Filed under: uncultured bacterium
Lineage: Bacteria
Description: partial 16S ribosomal RNA
Rfam family: Bacterial small subunit ribosomal RNA
Source: RNAcentral
UCCGUAGGCGGGCAAUUAAGUCAGAGGUGAAAUCCCACAGCUCAACUGUGGAACUGCCUUUGAUACUGGUUGUCUUGAGUUACAGUGAAGUAGAUAGAAUAUGUAGUGUAGCGGUGAAAUGCAUAGAUAUUACAUGGAAUACCGAUUGCGAAGGCAGUCUACUAACUGUAUACUGACGCUAAUGGACGAAAGCGUGGGGAGCGAACAGGAUUAGAUACCCUGGUAGUCC